GAGCAGGGAUUGGAAGACGAGGAGGGUCUUGUUUCACAAAGAGGAUUGAUUGCUUUGGCACAGGGCUGUCUUGAACUGGAAUACUUAGCUGUCUAUGUGUCGGAUAUCACGAAUUCAUCUCUCGAAUGCAUCGGCACAUACUCGAAAAAUCUCUGUGAUUUUCGCCUCGUCCUGCUGGAUCGAGAAGUGAGGAUAACAGAUUUGCCACUCGACAAUGGAGUUCAAGCUCUGUUGAGAGGAUGCUCUGAGAAGCUGAAGAGAUUUGCUUUGUAUCUUCGGCCCGGUGGAUUGACAGACGUUGGUCUUGGUUAUAUUGGAAGGUAUAGCCCAAAUGUGAGAUGGAUGCUUCUUGGUUACGUGGGGGAAUCUGAUGCUGGGCUAUUGGAAUUCUCUCGUGGCUGCCCCAGCCUGCAGAAGCUUGAGGUUAGAGGGUGCUGCUUUAGUGAGCAAGCAUUGGCAGCCUCCGUGAUGCAACUAACUUCCCUCAGGUACCUUUGGGUUCAAGGCUACAGAGGGUCCUCUUCAGGCCGUGAUCUUCUCGCAAUGGCCCGCCCGUUCUGGAACAUCGAAUUGAUUCCAUCAAGACGAGUCGUAGUUCCCGAUCAAGUCGGGGAGAUGGUGGUGGCUGAGCACCCUGCUCAUAUACUUGCAUACUACUCCCUAGCAGGACCAAGAACUGAUUUUCCAGACAGCGUCGUGCCAUUGGAUUCGUCGUCCUUGAUCUCUGCAUAGGGCUUAUGGGGAUGUAUAUACAACAACAAUAUCAACAACGACGACAAGGACAACAACAAGAAUCUCUUCCUUUGUUCUUGCACUUCUCCAUUUUGCCACGUUCCUGUUAAUAGAAUUGAAGGUUACAAAUUUGCGGUUAGGAUCAAUUGUGUUUCGAAUGUCAUUUUGUUGUGGUGGUAUCAUAU
This 917-nucleotide unclassified non-coding RNA is filed under the name Hevea brasiliensis (rubber tree). Lineage: Eukaryota; Viridiplantae; Streptophyta; Magnoliopsida; Malpighiales; Euphorbiaceae. The record is from RNAcentral.